This 153-nucleotide ribosomal RNA is filed under the name uncultured eukaryote. RNAcentral describes it as "partial small subunit ribosomal RNA". It matches the Rfam family "Eukaryotic small subunit ribosomal RNA", at positions 1651 to 1803 of the family's 1831-position model. The record is from RNAcentral.
CCCUGCCAUUUGUACACACCGCCCGUCGCACCUACCGAUUGAAUGGUCCGGUGAAGCCUCGGGAUUGUGGCGAGUUUCCUUCAUUGGGAAUUUGUCGCGAGAACUUGUCUAAACCUUAUCAUUUAGAGGAAGGUGAAGUCGUAACAAGGUUUC